This 467-nucleotide ribosomal RNA is filed under the name uncultured bacterium. Its description in RNAcentral is "partial 16S ribosomal RNA". It matches the Rfam family "Bacterial small subunit ribosomal RNA", at positions 28 to 507 of the family's 1533-position model. The record is from RNAcentral.
GACGAACGCUGGCGGCGUGCUUAACACAUGCAAGUCGAACGGAAAGGCCUCUUUCGGGGGGUACUCGAGUGGCGAACGGGUGAGUAACACGUGAGUAACCUGCCCUUGACUUUGGGAUAACUUCAGGAAACUGGGGCUAAUACCGGAUAGGAGCUCCUGCUGCAUGGUGGGGGUUGGAAAGUUUCGGCGGUUGGGGAUGGACUCGCGGCUUAUCAGCUUGUUGGUGGGGUAGUGGCUUACCAAGGCCUUGACGGGUAGCCGGCCUGAGAGGGUGACCGGCCGCAUUGAGACUGAGAUACGGCCCAGACUCCGACGGGAGGCAGCAGUGGGGAAUAUUGCACAAUGGGUGGAAGCCGGAUGCAGCAACGCCGUGUGCGGGAUGACGGCCUUCGGGUUGUAAACCGCUUUCGCUCAUGACGAAGCUUUGUGUGACGGUAGUGGGUAAAGAAGCACCGGCUAACUACGUG